UUUGUACACACCGCCCGUCGCUACUACCGAUUGAACGGCUCAGCAAGGCCUUCGGACUGGCCCAGAGAGGUUGGCAACGACCACUCCAGGCCGGAAAGUUGGUCAAACUUGGUCGUUUAGAGGAAGUAAAAGUCGUAACAAGGUUUCCGUAGGUGAACCUGCGGAAGGAUCAUUA
Molecule: ribosomal RNA, 175 nt
Filed under: Spirosphaera beverwijkiana
Lineage: Eukaryota; Fungi; Ascomycota; Leotiomycetes; Helotiales
Description: partial 18S ribosomal RNA
Rfam family: Eukaryotic small subunit ribosomal RNA
Source: RNAcentral